CCUACGGGAGGCUGCAGUGAGGAAUAUUGGUCAAUGGGAGAGAUCCUGAACCAGCCAAGCCGCGUGAGGGAAGACGGCCCUAUGGGUUGUAAACCUCUUUUGUCGGAGAACAAAACCCGGGACGUGUCCCGGACUGCGUGUAUCCGAAGAAAAAGCAUCGGCUAACUCCGUGCCAGCAGCCGCGGUAAUACGGAGAAUGCGAGCGUUAUCCGGAUUUAUUGGGUUUAAAGGGUGCGUAGGCGGUCCGUUAAGUCAGCGGUAAAAUUGCGGGGCUCAACCCCGUCGAGCCGUUGAAACUGGCAGACUUGAGUUGGCGAGAAGUACGCGGAAUGCGCGGUGUAGCGGUGAAAUGCAUAGAGAUCGGGAGGAACACCAGUGGCGUAGGCGGCCUACUGGGCUUUAACUGACGCUGAGGCACGAAAGCAUGGGUAGCAAACAGGAUUAGAUACCCGAGUAGUC
This 459-nucleotide ribosomal RNA is filed under the name uncultured bacterium. RNAcentral's name for it is "partial 16S ribosomal RNA". It matches the Rfam family "Bacterial small subunit ribosomal RNA", at positions 338 to 795 of the family's 1533-position model. The record is from RNAcentral.